UCAUAUUCUUCAAAAAUAUAGGAGAAAUUUUGGAGAAAACUUCUCUCCCCCCUCCCAACCGGUUUCCUAAAUCAGGGAUUUCAUUUUGGGUUUUUCGCACCAUUUGUGUCCAUCGACGGCAGCCCCUCCAUAGGUCUUCGAUAGGUUUCACCAAGUGAGAUUUUGUUAGAGAUUUGGAAAGCAAUUUAGGGAAAAUCAGUUCGGUGAGUUUCUUUCAUUUAUGCUUUGUUUAAUUUAUGUGAUAUUCGUACUCUGCAAUGAAGUCUUUGUGCUAUGUUCUCUGAGUUGGGUUUUCUGUUGUUACUCGCUUUGAGCCAUUGUGAUUUUGUAAUUUGAGCAACAAUGAUUCUGUGAUUUGAGCCAUUGUGAUUCUGUGAUUUGAGCCACUGUGAUUCUAUACUCUCUAAGUUGGACUUGAGUCAUUGUGAUGAUAUAAUUUGAGCCACUGAUGUGUUAAUUCUAUGAUUUUCAUUAUCUCCAAUAUCAUGGUGAUUAGCAUGAUUAUUUGAUUUGAGGAAGCUGUUGCUGUGAUUUUUGGAUUAUAAGGAAGUUGUUGCUAUGAUAUUUGGACAAUAUUUGUUGCUGGGAUAUUUAGUUUACACUGAUGUUAUUUGUGAUUUGUUGAUUAAUGUUGUGUUCUUGGCCAUGUUCUUGUUGUUCAUUGGUUAUUUUCUUUUUUGUUUAGUUAUACCUUUGUCCUUUGUAGCUUUUGGUGUUGCUUUAGGGCUCUCGUUAGGGCUGCGUUUGUAGUGUAAGGUUGUGAUGAUGGUUCAAUUUUUUUUUAUUGGAAGUCUGAAACCACAAGUGCUGUGAAUUGGGCUUGGUUAAUAUGGCAGGGUAACCUGGAUGACCAUCUUUAUUGUGAUAGUUUCACAAAGGCAACCAGUGUUAAAUGUGUCGCAGCUAUUCAAGCUUGCGCUCUUUUCCUAAGCAUGCUAUAAAAAAAAAAACCAUUCUAUGUAUCAUAGAAAAAUAUUUGUAAAACUUGGUUGUUACUUAUCCCCUUUUUACUUAUCCCCAAUUUGUUAUAUGUUGUAAUGUGGUCCCUGAAUCAAUGCAACAAUGCAAUUCUACCUAGCGAGAAAAAGAAAUACUUAGGACAGCUUCAACCUUGUUGCAUUAGGGGGCUCUUCCUGAGUUUAGAUAAUGUUUGAAACGUUUAGUCUAGAAAAUGGCCAUGGAUCCUACAUUUUUAUGAAGAAUAAAGGUUUUGAAUUGUAAUAAUCACUACAGUUCAAGCUUCACCCACUCACCAUUAUCUGACUCUUGUAAAAGGGGAGUUGUGUGUGUAAGCUGAGAGGGAAUCCUUCAUGAAGCAAAGAAUAAUUAUUCUAAACUGUUUUUUGUAUUGGAUUUGUGUGCUUACUAGUAUAAGCAUCUUGAAGUCUUUUACAACUAAUAUGGGUUUAAGGUUUUACUUUUGAGUAGGGAUCUUGAAUAAUUAUUUUGAACUAUUUUAGAUUUUAAAACUAAUGAUUGAGACUAUCUUAUCAAAUUGAAUCUUUGUGAAUAAAUGAUGAAACUUUCAUUUUGUAAACUUAUCAUGUUUGUCUUAGAACUUUGGAGUAAUUAUUUUAACUAUAUUACGUGCGUCACAACCAUUGAAGUUUCUUGUGACUAUCAACCUUUUUAUCUCAUCUUUGUAAUCCAUUCUUAAGAGCAGUCUGUGUGUUUCUACUGAGAUAGAUUUCAAAACCAAUUUCUCUCAUGAUUAUUUUUUCAUAUUUUUUAUUUUUUUUAGCAAUCUUUUUUUUUCUUGGGAUGAGUGACUUUCCUUCUUAAGAGGGGGGAGGAGUAAUCUAUCUGCAUUUGUUUAUUUAUUAAAUUUAUUAAUUUGCACUUGUUUAACUUUCUCAAUGAAUCUUUCUGAGCAAGUAGCUGAUAGUUGAAUAUUCUUCUUUGGCACACCCUUCUUUUUCUCUCUCUCUUGUUUGCAAGCCUUUUGUUUUUUUUGUUUUUUGUUUACAGCCUUGCUCAACUCUCAUACUUAUUGUUCUGGGUUUCUGUGGAUUUCUGUUUUUCUCCUUUUGCUUGAAAAUAAGUGAAGCACACAUUGCUGGCACAUAAACUAUAAUUUUUGUUAUUGUUUUGAUUAACUCAUUAUUCGUUUCAGAUGUGUUUCUGGGGAGGUGAAUUGUAGUCUCUUCUUGUGGUUCUUCAGUUACCUACUCCACGAGUUGAACUGAGUUGAAUCAUUAAAUCUUUAUCCAAGUUUUCUUACCUCUUCUACUUUUUGAGAAAACCCAUCCACUAGUUUGCAAUGUGUUGCACCCCUUUUAUUGUUUGACCAGAACCUCAUCCAUUAAGAUUCAUGUGUUCCAUGAUGUUCUUGUUUGACCCUUUCAUUGUUAUUUUUUCCAUUUAGCAUGUUAUUUUGUUCCAUUUAGCAUGCUAUUCUUUUCCAUUUAGGGGGCUCUUUGUUCCAUUUUCUAUACUGUUUUUAGAGCUUGCUUUGCUACCUCAUGCAUCCUGAUUGUUAGUUGGAUUUGUUUGUUGGCAAUUAAAUUAUAUAGCCUUCGGCUGUGAUGAUGGCAAGUUGAGUGGGGACAAAGGAAAAUUGGCACAUACUCAAUGGUAGGGUAACCCGGGGGACCAAUGAAUAUUGGCAACCGAUAUUGCAGCCAUUGAAGAAAUUGCCAUUUCCUAUAUGUCACCAUUUAUUUCCUGAGACGGUUUGCAAUGUCUUGUCCCAAUUGCUUUUGAGCUUCUAACAUGUUUAGUUGAACUGCUCAUUAUCUACAAUUAGUAUAGCCUAAUGGAUUAACAAGACCAUAGAUAUAUGUUCUUCAUGAACCUCCUCAAUGAGGACCCUAAGGUUGAUCGGAUUGACUUGAGUCAAACUCAUCACUCUCCAGUGAUGCUGGAAGACUCUCCUCCACCCCAAUUAAACAUUCUUUUCGGGAAAAAAUCAAUAAGGGGUGCAAAUUUUACUCAAGAAGAAGACAAACUUGUCUCCGCAUGGUUUAAUACUAGUGUAGAUGCCAUCCAAGGAACCGAUAAAAAACAUGCCAAACUUUUGGAGAAAAUUAGUUUAUACUUUAAUCAGUAUAAACAAAGUACAAUGGACUGGACUGUUGGGUCCUUAAUACAUUGGUGGUCUGUGAUUCAAAAAGUGACCAACAAAUUUUAUGCGAAGACAGCACAAGUUGAAGGGUUGAAUCAAAGUAGCAUGACCGAGCAAAACAAGGUAUAUCCAUCCACUAGUUUCAAUCUCUUGUACAUACUAUUUUAUUUAAUUCUUAGUCAACUUUGCUAAUUAUUUUCUGUUUGGUUCUAUUUUGCAAGUUUGAAAAAAUGAAAAUUAUGUACCAAUCACUUGAGAAAAGUAGCUUUCCUUUUGAACAUUGUUGGCACCUGUUGAAGGACCAAUUAAAAUUGAUUUAGCGUUACUGAAAGGAAAGUCCAAAGCCAAGAUCUACGACUUUUGUGAUCCCGACUCAUACCUCUGUAAGAGUUUGAUUUAAACUCUUUGUCCCAUACACUCAUAUCCUAUUGGGUUUAAGAUAGUUAAAUUACUAUCUCUUAA
Juglans microcarpa x Juglans regia is the source of this 3526-nucleotide long non-coding RNA. RefSeq lists it as uncharacterized. The transcript is spliced from 2 exons. Lineage: Eukaryota; Viridiplantae; Streptophyta; Magnoliopsida; Fagales; Juglandaceae. The record is from RefSeq and is a predicted model, not a curated record.